GUAGAGGGACGAGGUGGUAUUCAUCCCCGAUGGCUCGAAAUCAGUUUGCGCGAAAGCGCACGGGGGUUCGAAUCCCCCCCUCUCCGCCA
RNAcentral lists this transfer RNA (89 nucleotides) under Clostridia bacterium. RNAcentral's name for it is "tRNA-OTHER". Lineage: Bacteria; Bacillati; Bacillota; Clostridia. The record is from RNAcentral.